RNAcentral lists this ribosomal RNA (504 nucleotides) under uncultured bacterium. RNAcentral describes it as "partial 16S ribosomal RNA". It matches the Rfam family "Bacterial small subunit ribosomal RNA", at positions 28 to 523 of the family's 1533-position model. The record is from RNAcentral.
GAUGAACGCUAGCGGCAGGCUUAAUACAUGCAAGUCGUGGGGCAGCAUGAGUGUAGCAAUACAUUUGAUGGCGACCGGCAAACGGGUGCGGAACACGUACACAACCUUCCUAUAAGUGGGGAAUAGCCCAGAGAAAUUUGGAUUAAUACCCCGUAACAUAACGAUGUGGCAUCACAUUGUUAUUAUAGCUUCGGCGCUUAUUGAUGGGUGUGCGGCUGAUUAGAUAGUUGGCGGGGUAACGGCCCACCAAGUCUACGAUCAGUAGCUGAUGUGAGAGCAUGAUCAGCCACACGGGCACUGAGACACGGGCCCGACUCCUACGGGAGGCAGCAGUAAGGAAUAUUGGUCAAUGGACGCAAGUCUGAACCAGCCAUGCCGCGUGAAGGAUUAAGGUCCUCUGGAUUGUAAACUUCUUUUAUCUGGGACGAAAAAAGGCUUUUCUAAGCCACUUGACGGUACCAGAUGAAUAAGCACCGGCUAACUCCGUGCCAGCCGCCGCGGUAA